UUAUAGGCUUAAAUAAGUUUUUGGUCCCUAACCUUUACCAUAUGUUUGGUUUUCAUCCCUCGCCACCCACCUUUACUCCGGCGAGGGACUAAAACCAAACAUAUGGUAAAGGUUAGGGACCAAAAACUUAUAGCAGCAUUUGA
RNAcentral lists this microRNA precursor (143 nucleotides) under Lotus japonicus. Its description in RNAcentral is "miR7517 stem-loop (lja-MIR7517)". The record is from miRBase by way of RNAcentral. Lineage: Eukaryota; Viridiplantae; Streptophyta; Magnoliopsida; Fabales; Fabaceae.